CGGAAUUCCGCGGUUUGCCUACGGCCUUCUAAGCCGAUGGUCGCAGGUUCGAAUCCUGCCACUCCGACCA
Molecule: transfer RNA, 70 nt
Filed under: Mesorhizobium sp.
Lineage: Bacteria; Pseudomonadati; Pseudomonadota; Alphaproteobacteria; Hyphomicrobiales; Phyllobacteriaceae
Description: tRNA-Arg
Source: RNAcentral